GAUGAAGAACGUAGCGAAAUGCGAUAAGUAAUGUGAAUUGCAGAAUUCAGUGAAUCAUCGAAUCUUUGAACGCACAUUGCGCCCGCCAGUAUUCUGGCGGGCAUGCCUGUUCGAGCGUCAUUUCAACCAUCAAGCCCCAGGCUUGUGUUGGGGACCUGCGGCUGCCGCAGGCCCUGAAAACCAGUGGCGGGCUCGCUAGUCACACCGAGCGUAGUAGCAUACACAUCGCUCAGGGCGUGCUGCGGGUUCCGGCCGUUAAACCCCUUUUUUACCCAAGGUUGACCUCGGAUCAGGUAGGAAGACCCGCUGAACUUAAGCAUAUCAAUAAGCGGGGA
Molecule: unclassified non-coding RNA, 335 nt
Filed under: soil metagenome
Description: partial contains 5.8S ribosomal RNA, internal transcribed spacer 2, and large subunit ribosomal RNA
Rfam family: 5.8S ribosomal RNA (bases 1-120)
Source: RNAcentral